AUUAACCCUAACCUCUUGAGAUUAGCCAAUGCUCAAAAUGGUAUAGCUGGACUAGGAGGUUUAAACCCUAUUAUAUUUUACAUAUAGAACUAUUUCAAAUCUUAGGAGUGUUUCAACUACGCGCAUGAGCACCAGGCGAUGUGAGACUCAUCUUACUAGCCUUAACUAACCUUAUUGAAAGUUGUGCUCCACCCAUAAUAGUCGUAAGCCGCAGAACCGCACUCUACGUGCCAUAUUACAUGUCGUAUGAUCUUAACGCUGCCGAAACUCAUUUCAUACUUCCGGCUGGUGAUUGACUAUAGUAGCAACUGUGACGCCCCACUUAAUUUCUAGAGGGUCAUCUAUUAUGUAACUACUCUAAGGGGCCGUUUGGUUGGAUAUAGUUGCAGAAACAGUGUAGUUGGAAAUACAUGCAGUUGCAAAUGCUGCAGUUAUAAUUACACCUAGUCUGUUUGGUUUUACGCAGUUGCAACUGCUGCAGUUACAUUUCUUCUGUUUGGUAAUAUGAAGCUGAUAGUUGUAUUUAUGAAUUUUGUCACCUCUUCAGAUAGAGUGGUGAGGUUUCCUUCAUUAAACAUAAAAUAAUUAUAUAAAUUUAUUAAUUAUUUAAAUUUACUAUUUAUAAAUAAAUAAGUAGAUAUAUAUAAUAUUUUUAUAUUUUUCAAUAAUUCUUCAACUUAUUAAUCGACACAUUUAAAAUUUUUAAUUUAUUUAAUUUUAAUAUGUAAAUCAAACUUUAAAAAUUUAAACGAUUCUCUCAUUUUUUUAAUCAAAUUUAAUAAUUAUAAUUAAUUAAAACUUAUUAAAUUAACAUACACGAUCACAUUCUAUAAAAAUUUAGAAAAAAAAAACUAUAUUUAUAUUUUAAAUAAAAUAAAUUUAAAAAAAUUAAUUUUUUGCACAAAUCUUGUAUUGUCUAAAAAAUUUUAUUAGUAUGAGUUUAUUUAUAAGUAUUUUUAUUUACCUAUAUACUUAUAUUAUUUAUUUAUUUAGCUAUUUAUUUAUUUAUUUAUUAUUGUUAAUUUGUGGGUAAUCCUAUUCCUCACCAACUGCUGCAGUUAGAACUACGACCAAUUUGGAUGUAGUUCCAACUGUAGCAUUUGGGCCUUCUUGUGCAGUUGGAACUGCAGCAGUUGAACUCAACUACACUAAACCAAACAAAGGAAUUGUGGCUGCACGCAUUUGCAACUGCACUGCAGUUGCAAAUGCGUACAACCAAACAGCCCCUAACUCUACUAGUGAAACCCCAGGUGGCUAAAUCUCUUAAUCCAGCUAUAGCAUUUUGGGCAGUGAUUUGGUCCAACAGGUUAAGAGAGUUAAGCGUGUUAAGACUAGAGUAGUCCUAUAAUGGGUGACCCUUGAGAAGUUGGAGCAUUACAGUUGGUAUCAAAAUCAAUUACCAGCUGGCAGUAUGAGAUUAGUUUCGAUUGAGUCAAAUUAUACAGCGGAUAAAGUAAGACUCCCAUACUGAUGAUUAUGAGCAUGGCUCACUCACAAGGUUGGUUAAGAUUAACAAGACGAGUCUCAUAUUGUCUGAUACUUAUGACUCUGAGCCAAACGAGAAUGUCACAGCUUAAAGAGAGGGAAAAAAUAUAGGUCCCCAAAUAGUCCUAUAUAUAAUAUAUAAUAUGAUUAAAACUCUUAACCCGCCUAUAGUAUUUUGGGCAGUAGUCAGUACUUCAACCUAAGAAGUUAAAAGAAUUAAGCGUGAUAGGACUAAAAUAUUUCUAAGAUGAAUAAUCCUUAAAAAAUUUGGGGCCCCGCAAUACUUAAAUCUCUUAAGCCUAACGGUCAUUCACAAUAUUAUAAUUGAAUUAAAAAAUCUAAUUAUAUUAUAUUUUAUAUAUAUAUAAAUAUUUUAAAUUUUAAGCGCCUUCACAUAUAUAUAUUUUCUUUUUCUUUUUUUACCAUCCCCUCCCAAGCUUCCAACA
This 1931-nucleotide long non-coding RNA is filed under the name Ananas comosus (pineapple). RNAcentral describes it as "long non-coding RNA (ACOM_LNC027035)". Lineage: Eukaryota; Viridiplantae; Streptophyta; Magnoliopsida; Poales; Bromeliaceae. The record is from RNAcentral.